GAUGAACGCUGGCGGCGUGCCUAAUACAUGCAAGUCGAGCGAACAGACGAGGAGCUUGCUCCUCUGACGUUAGCGGCGGACGGGUGAGUAACACGUGGAUAACCUACCUAUAAGACUGGGAUAACUUCGGGAAACCGGAGCUAAUACCGGAUAAUAUAUUGAACCGCAUGGUUCAAUAGUGAAAGACGGUUUUGCUGUCACUUAUAGAUGGAUCCGCGCCGCAUUAGCUAGUUGGUAAGGUAACGGCUUACCAAGGCAACGAUGCGUAGCCGACCUGAGAGGGUGAUCGGCCACACUGGAACUGAGCCACGGUCCAGACUCCUACGGGAGGCAGCAGUAGGGAAUCUUCCGCAAUGGGCGAAAGCCUGACGGAGCAACGCCGCGUGAGUGAUGAAGGUCUUCGGAUCGUAAAACUCUGUUAUUAGGGAAGAACAAAUGCGUAAGUAACUAUGCACGUCUUGACGGUACCUAAUCAGAAAGCCACGGCUAACUACGUG
This 497-nucleotide ribosomal RNA is filed under the name uncultured bacterium. RNAcentral's name for it is "partial 16S ribosomal RNA". It matches the Rfam family "Bacterial small subunit ribosomal RNA", at positions 28 to 507 of the family's 1533-position model. The record is from RNAcentral.